ACACCUCAACUCUCCACGGUUUUCCGUGGCGAGCUUGGACUUUGGAGGUUUGCUGGCCCCACAGGUCGGCUCCUCUUAAAUGAAUCAGCUUGCCAGUGUUUGGUGGCGUCACAGGUGUGAUAAAUGUCUACGCUUGCCGCCGUCUGCCAUGCAACCUUCAGCAAUGGAGGUUCGCUGGAGCUUAAAAACGUCUCUCCUCAGCGAAGACAGCUUUUUUAAC
RNAcentral lists this unclassified non-coding RNA (220 nucleotides) under uncultured Thelephora. Its description in RNAcentral is "sequence contains ITS2". The record is from RNAcentral. Lineage: Eukaryota; Fungi; Basidiomycota; Agaricomycetes; Thelephorales; Thelephoraceae.